RNAcentral lists this ribosomal RNA (253 nucleotides) under uncultured bacterium. RNAcentral's name for it is "partial 16S ribosomal RNA". It matches the Rfam family "Bacterial small subunit ribosomal RNA", at positions 524 to 776 of the family's 1533-position model. The record is from RNAcentral.
UACGGAGGGUGCAAGCGUUGUUCGGAAUCACUGGGCGUAAAGGGCUUGUAGGCGGUCCGCUAAGUCUGAUGUGAAAGCCCGAGGCUUACCCUCGGAAGUGCAUUGGAGACUGGCGGACUGGAGUCCCGGAGAGGAGGGUGGAAUUCCUGGUGUAGCGGUGAAAUGCGUAGAUAUCAGGAGGAACACCGGUGGCGAAGGCGGCCCUCUGGACGGUGACUGACGCUGAGACGCGAAAGCGUGGGGAGCAAACAGG